This 798-nucleotide long non-coding RNA is filed under the name Homo sapiens (human). RNAcentral describes it as "HSALNT0163634". The record is from RNAcentral. Lineage: Eukaryota; Metazoa; Chordata; Mammalia; Primates; Hominidae.
CGUAUAUAUGUAUAUAUGCUUGUGUAUAGAUAUUGCUAACCUCGUGUCUCUCAUACAUGUCUCUGUCUUCUGAAGAAUACCCUGGAUUUGUUUUUUCCCCUGCCUGUGUACCACCUCCUAUACUGUUUUCAAGGACAAAUGAAAACAAUGACAAGGUGAACUGAAAAAAAGACUCCCCUCAAUGCUUGGAACAGAGAUAGUAUUUUUCUCCAACCACUUGUUUCAUUGUUUUGGACUCUACUCUGAUCUGCAAAACUUCCUGAAGAAGAAGUUGCCUGGAUCCAAGCCAUAGAUGGAGACAUGGGAGAAACCAGCAUAUAUAGAUUCAUUGCUAGACCAAACCCUUCCAUGUAACAUAAUAUUUUAAAUUAUUACUAGUAUUUCCUUCAACAGUUCUGACUUCAAAUGUCAAUGUUCUUUCUUUCAAGUAGGUUGAGAUCAAGUAUAUUUAUCAUUCAGCCUCACAAGUAGUGAUUAUUUUACUUUUCUCUUUGCCUUCACAAUUAAUCAGUAAUGAUUCUAUAGACUUUCGGUCGUACACACCUCUUGUCAAUAUAACUUUAUUGGGACAUAUUUUACAUAUCAUAUAAUUCACUUAUUUCAAGUGUACAAUCAAUACAAAAGAGUAAAUUUACCAAGUUGUGCAAUCAUCAAUAUAAAUUAGUUUUGUAUUUCCCCAAUAAGAUCCCUCAUGCCCAUGAACUUUUAAUCUUUGCUCCCUCGCUCUGCCUCAGGCAGACAAUAGUUGUCUCUCUGUCUCUAUAGAUUUGCCUUUUCUGGACAUUUCAUAUAAAUAAA